Small nucleolar RNA from Cucurbita moschata (crookneck pumpkin), 210 nucleotides. RefSeq annotates it as Plant small nucleolar RNA U3. NCBI's taxonomy places the organism in Eukaryota, Viridiplantae, Streptophyta, Magnoliopsida, Cucurbitales, Cucurbitaceae. The transcript has a single exon. The record is from RefSeq and is a predicted model, not a curated record.
ACGACCUUACUUGAACAGGAUCUGUUCUAUAGGUUGUACAACUGUGUCCUUGAGUUCUAAGGAGACAAGAACCUAAGUCUGGUGGAUGAUUUGCUGCUGUGCGACUAGAGCGUGACUAACGGCUCAUGGGCUUCCGGUCCUGCGGCUGUAGAUGAUCGUUCUCGGGCAGGCUUGCCUUCCUGGGUUGGUCGCGCGGUGGUCUGACAGACU